AAGACUAUACUUUCAGGGAUCAUUUCUAUAGUUUCUGACUUAAGAAAUGUGUUUCUAAAGUGUGUGGUCUCGCUAACCACGAUGAAGAGUUGGUGGUACUCUCUUCUGAGCGCGAAGCGGGCAGAGAGACUUGAUUCAGUUCAUAUCCUCUCUGCUUUUGAUGAUCGUUCACUGUCUCCUUUGGGGACAUUGAGGAAGAGAGUAUGAUCAGAGUGGUA
Mola mola (ocean sunfish) is the source of this 218-nucleotide small nucleolar RNA. Lineage: Eukaryota; Metazoa; Chordata; Actinopteri; Tetraodontiformes; Molidae. The record is from Ensembl.